AGGUGUAAGUGGCCGACAAGUGUAGACAAGUGUAGACUCCGAGCCAAUGGGCGGCCGCCGUUGUCUACACUUCCAACGGCUAUGCACUCGCCUGGCUCUCACGUCUACGAACUCCCCAAAUGUGGGAAUCUCGACUGCAUAAUUUCUGGUAGUGGGGGACUGCGUUCGCGCUCUCCCCUC
This is a small nuclear RNA of Gadus morhua (Atlantic cod), 180 nucleotides long. Its record names the gene U1. It matches the Rfam family "U1 spliceosomal RNA". From Rfam's summary of the family: U1 is a small nuclear RNA (snRNA) component of the spliceosome (involved in pre-mRNA splicing). The record is from Ensembl. Lineage: Eukaryota; Metazoa; Chordata; Actinopteri; Gadiformes; Gadidae.